UAACGUUCAUGUUUUAAUAAUCUGCAUUUGCUUUAUUUUAUUUUAUUUUGCAUAUAUCAAAUUUAUGUUCAAGGGGUGACACAAUUUAAGAUAUUUAGACUUUAAUUAACAAGGAAAAAUUACAUAUUAAUGUUGGAGGUUGAGUUAGUAACGUUAAGGUUAGUUGAAAAACCUUUAGUUUGCAAGGUGUCAAAGAUAUACUUAAGGUUUUUAACUUGCAAAGUCUCAUCUGCGUACAAUAACGGCAAGUCCAUUUUUCUAGCUGAAAUUAUACUUUAGCGAGCCAGGCAUCAAGGUCCAGCUUAAUGUACCACACGAAAGUAAAUAAAAAUAAAAAACAAAACAAAACAAACAAACAAAUUACAAAAAAUAUCAAGAAAACGAGUCGAGGAGGCCUCCGAAUCGCACAUACUUGAGAUGUGUGGUUUUUAUGAACACAUAUGAAGUAACAGGAAUACCUCCUUCACAAUACCAAACAAGGACCAAGUGCUACUUCUUUACAAGCAGGUCUAUGGAACAAUGUCUAUAGCUGCGAUUGGAAGCAGCACGUCUCGAGUUUCCAACUCUCGCGUAGGUAUCCCUGGAGAAAUGUGCCAAAAACCCAGAGCACUUCAAAAAUUCGCUGAGCUGUGGAUAACUCUGGACACAAGCAAACCACAUGACUUGACAAUACAAAAAUUCUUUGCAUCUUCCAGUGGAAAAAACAUUUCCGACAUAAAUUAAGAAGAAAUAACUGAUAAGCCCCUUACAAGUCCUAAAUGAACAUAUUAAGCACAACACGUGCUAAAUUCUUAAGAUUCCACAAGCGUUCCUCAAACGAAAAACAUUUAUCUACACUACGCGGCAUCUCAUAGUCCUGUGCAUACAACAAGGAAGCACUUAAAAGUACGAGAGGCAGACAUGUGAAAGCAUAUCUUUGCGGAAAGGAUUUUGACCGACCUCAUGGCGUCUGCCAAAGUCUAGUUGUGUGAGUGGUGAGGCCGGGAUGGAGGUGGCGGUGGAUUGCCAUGUGAUGCGUUAGCUGGUCCAUGACUUGCUGGUCCAGCAGGAGCCGAAUGUUCAGGGCCUGAGUCCCCGCCACCAAAUAGCCAUGGUAGACACAUGCUUCCCACUUACCUGCUCAUCAACAACCAACUCGUGUCUUCAAAGGAGCUAAUGAAAUUAAGCCUCAGGAAACUCACGGGUGCAAUAGGACACAUAUUUGUGCCCUCAAGGGCUGAACAGAAAAGAUUCGACGACAAUCAUAACCGGCUAACAUUGAAUUACAACUACGACCCUACCGUGAUCACGGCUCCGGCGCGAUAUCUUGGCCAGUCAGCUUGACGACUUCAUUUUCUCACAACGAGAUGUUAACAUGAUUGAUAGUAAAAGAUUUGCAACGAUUUUUCCUACCUAUGAUGGUCAGGAACGCAAAGAAUCUAACUCUAUACCUUACAACCAGUAACCGAGACGACCUUUCACGGCUAUGUUGCACUUUGCUUCAGCAAUACCACCAACCCUCGCGACAAUCUGAGACAAACCUCACAAAACUGCACAAAGUCACAAUACUAGAUCGAAUUGGGGAUACUGAUGACAGAAAGAGCCACUAUUAACCCUAAGCUCCAAUCUCUCAUCACUUUCUAAAACACAAAGUUCGAAUGAUUUCCACGACAUUCAAUCGACCAAAGACAUACUUUCAAAAUUGUUCACCAGGAAAUUGCACCAGAGAUCUCACGCAGACGCAAUACAGAGCCGUGAUAGAAAACAGGAGCUAGAAAUUUGAGUAACAUACUUGAUUAAUACAACCCUGUUAAGAUUAAAGCUCGCCACUGCUUCACUUGCUAACUUCCGAUCCAAUUCACAACGGGCUACACCGCAAGAACAAUCUCACCACUGAUUCAACAAAGGGCGUGUUGAGUCCCCUCCCCCUCAUCUGCUGAAUCCCAAUGCACCCAAGAGGCUGACACGUUGAUCCCCACGUGGUUGGAAGCAAUGAGACAAGGCCGCGAGAGAGACGACGAAGGAAAGAAAACUGCGGAAAGAAGCCGUGCCGCAAAGAAAUG
Molecule: long non-coding RNA, 2042 nt
Filed under: Physcomitrium patens
Lineage: Eukaryota; Viridiplantae; Streptophyta; Bryopsida; Funariales; Funariaceae
Description: long non-coding RNA (PPAT_LNC002029)
Source: RNAcentral